CUCAGACUCCUCCGUGGGUCAGGAUUGUUCAUUGGUCUAGGCUCAGCCGGGAGGGCAGUUACUGGAAUGUUCGGGGUCAGGGGCGGCGACCCAUAGUCAGUAGGGUCAGGCCACGCAGGCACACUGUGUAUACAGCCAGCCCUGGGCCUGGAGAAGAGCUUAAACCUUGCUCCUUGCGGUGAGUGGAGGAGCCCAAGAGCAGACUGAGGCCACCGGAGAGGCUGAGAGGCUGACAGGCUCCCUGGGCACCAGGACAGGGGACCCACCCCCUCCCCCGACACCCCUGUGCUCUGCAUGGACAAGGACAGACAGACAGCUCCUCGAGGGCCCAUGGCCACAAGAGUCAGCCACACCGGCCCCUGCAGCUGGGGCAGAGAGGCUCAGAGGAGGUGAAGGGACUGAAGGACCCGCUCACCAGGCUCCGCCCACUCCCAGGGCCCCUGGGGUCCCCAGCACCUUCCUCCAGGGCCUCCUGCGCUGCCCGCUCCUCUGAAGGUCUUCAGUGACAGGUGCGGAUCCGGUUUGGAUGCUGAUGGAGAGGAAGGAGGUGGCCCCACGGGUGGCUCCCGCCCCCCACAAGAUGCCCCGCCCCUCUCCUGUGGGCUCAGCUUCAGUUUUCCAGGCUAAGGGAGGCCUCAAGGGCACAGAUGCCUCCUCCCUGUCCCACGGGGACAGGACAGGACUUGACGGCCCCUGGAGAGAUCCUGUGCCUUCUGGCUUCCCCUGGAAACGUGUGCCUGGCAGGCCUCCCUCGUGCUGUGCUCCUGGUCUCAGCCCUCCCUUCUGCCAGGAAAGGGCCUGGGCUGGAGGGAGAAGCCUGGAACCUGCCCGCGGUCCCUGCUGGGCCAGCUGGGGCCACUUCCUAAACUCCCGGGGCCUCGGCCUUCUCCUCCUCCUCCCGCGGGAGACCCUGGGACAGCCUGUGAGCAGGGCGGACAGCUGGGAGGGGGGCGUCCAAGGGACCAGGGCUGAACAGGUGAUGCUCCUCAGAUGCCCGGGUUCAAGGCCUGUGGCGCCACCUGCUGGCCGCGUGCUGUGGGCACCUGUAAGAACCUCUUUGUGCCUUUGCUGUCCUGCCAAGGUGGUGGUAAUGAGAGAACCGCCUCCGCUGGCGUCUGCGCAGAGACCCAGGGCGCAUGUGGGCUUCUGGGCGAGGGUCAGCCCUCAUUCCGGUUCGCUGCGGGGAGAGCCUCAGAGCUGCAUGAGCUUUUUGAGCUCGGCCAUCCUUGUCCAUCUCAGGCCUUAGUCUGGAGGCUGGUGGGAGCUAAAGGUCAGAGCGUCCUUCAGCAGCCUCCCGGGGAGCCAGGAGUCCUUCCCUCUGCACUCUCCAAGGCAGGGUCCUGUUGGCCUGGCCAGUGAGUCCAUUUCCCAAGAAGGACUCAGCAGGUGAGGUGACUGGUGUUCUCUUUGGUUUUGUUUCUCAUGACUGAAAACAGGAGUAUGUGAUUGUUUUUCAUGCACCCUCAAGUUGUAAUCAAGUUUUAAUCACCCGGAGAGGAAGUGAAAGUCCCAAGUUCAAUGCUAAGUCCAUCUCUCCCAUGAAAAGGGAAGAAGGUCAUUGCAGGUGGAACAUGAUUGAGGGACCAUGGCCCUCAUGGUGUCACUGCGUGGCCCAGGCCCUGAAUUUGGGUUGAGGACCUCUCUCUGGAAGGGUUUCAUGACCAGAUCAUCCUGGACAUGGCAGCACAGGCGUUGGGCUUCAACGUAUAUCUCUUGCUGGGCCAUGACUUUUUUCUCAUUUAUUCUCUCUUCCAUUCUGUUGUCUUUUGGGGCUCAUUUGCUGGUUGUUCACAGAAUCUUACAGAGUAACUCUCUUCCAGUGAAUCCCAUCCCCAGAGAGCUCAUGUUGGCCUCCUCAAGUUCUUUCUGGAAUCUGCUUCCUUGGAGGAGCUCUGCUGGUGUUUUCAAAAGGUUCCUUGUUGGCUUGUCUUUAUUUUUUUUUCAGAAGCUGAUAAUCUUUUAACCCCUUUUUGCUUUUUUGUGGUGACUUUUUUUGAGCUUUUACUAAAUCCAUCGAUGAUCCCUUGAUUGGUUUAUGGAGUGUACCAGAAGAAAAAUAUGGUCAUUAUGGGCUCCCCCCGAGACUUCAGAACAACAUGACCUAAGCCUAUAAGCCUGGGUGGGGUAGCCAGCACCAACCCAAUCUUGCCCUCUCCAUCUGUAGCUUUAGAUAUUGAGGGUUCGUCUAAGAUUAUGGGGAUACUUCAGUGUUUUGGCUCCAAUGGAUCAAACAAGUCAGAACUGGCCUAGGUACUUCCUUUAGAAGACUAGUUCUCUCAUGUCCUUCCUAUUUCUCCAGGGGUAAUGGACUUGUUUAUUUCACUCUCUGUUGUUUCAAUUCCUUUCUUGUGUCUUGAUGAUUAAGGAGUGUCACUAAGUAGUUGUCAUCCAAGGUCCAAGAAUUGGCCACUGUGAUAUGACCCUCCCCUCAAGAAAGUUUGUACCUGAUUUGUUGGUCUUUACUUGAGGCAAUGACUGGCCACCUUCCUCACCCCCAUGGCAUCUUAUCUUCCUGAAGGAGCCAUCCCGCCACACGGGUUCUUUCCCAGUGCCCCAGUGGUCCCAGAUAGACUUGUCAGUAAGAGUUGAGUUUGUAGGGUUUUAGGAAGGAAUGUGUCAGAAGUGCAGGGGCUGAAGAGCCUCUAUGUGCCCAGACUCCUCUACACCUUGUCCCCAGGGGUCAAGUGAUUACCCCGCCAACAGCCAGCUCCUAUUCUAACUGAAUCUCAGUGGGACAUUUGCAUUCACCCAUUUCCUCCCUCUGUGACUCAUCCACGGACAUCUCCCGGGAUCCACUUGCUCUCUGAGUCCCAUCGCUGCUGAGGGAAGCAUCCUGACAACAUUCUGUGUCUUCCUCCAGCUUGGUGUGUCUCCCACUCCAUCCUACCUGUCCACUGUUCCCUAUAGAGUCAGAAAAUGUCCCAUGCUCUAGAGGUUAAAAAAAAAAAAACAAAACAAAAAACUGAGCUCAGGAAAAGUGGUCUUCACAGGUUCACAUGGAGUUGGCAGUGAGGUAAGACCUCAACUCCAGGGCUUGGUAAUACUGGGCAGCCUCCGUGGGAUUCCUGAUGUCCGAGAGUCCUGAUGAGAGAGGACAGGUAGGGAUCCCAAGGUCCCAAGGGCUCCAAGUGUUGUCCAAGCCUGCCACCUCCAAAGCCCCACCCAGUGCACCUGGCCUGGGGUAUCCUUGGUGAAAAUAAGUACAUUUUACCUGUUGCCUCUUCCAUUGCUGCCAUAUCUCCUCUCAUCCUAUUCCUUGAUAAAUAUCCAAAUGUUAUCAACAUAAUUGGGAAAUGGAGCCUGGAGGUGAAGGGCCAGACCCUGGAAAUGGCAGCAUUGCAGUCUGGAGACAUGGAGGCUCAGAAGCUCCGAGUUCAGGGCCUUCUAACCUUGGGAGCAGUAGUAGUAGUGCCCAGGGGAACAGGGAAUUGGGGACCAAGUUUAUACUGGGCAACAAGAUUAUAGGCAUAGUUUGAACGAUGUUUACGUGGUCCCAGCACAAAGAGCUGGGACUGCUUGGAUUGAAGCCUGGGUGCUAGAAGGUUGUCCGAGAACAGGUCAGACAUGUGGACCAACGUGGGCUCUCCCAGGCCCUGGAAGCCCAAACACUGCAGCAGGGACAGUGCGAAGGGGACUCUGACAUGGGGAAGGGGCAAGGAAGGGUGAUUUGUAUACAUUUUCAGAAUCCAAUGAUGAAUUCCCAUUUUAAGAGGCAGAUAGCUCUUCAAGGUGCACAACGAAUGUCUUCCUCUCCCUACCAUCUGAUCUCAGAAUGAAGUGUUGUCAUUUGAACCUCUUCUAUUUUUUAGAGAUGACUGCUUCCUUAACUUUAUAAACUGCUUUAUUAAUGUGAUUGAAAAUAUUUGGUCAUGCUUUUCAUUUACCUGUGGCACCAUUUUUGGGGGGAAGCUUUUCCUGGCCUUUUUCUCAUCUUUGAUUCAAUUUGUGCUCCUCUUUUUUAGAGAACACAUAUGUGAAUGAGUUUAAUUUACUUGUACUCAAUUUUUGUAAAAUUUUCGUGUGGGCUGUGUCCCAAACUCCAAUACACUUUUAUUAUGUCUCAA
Molecule: long non-coding RNA, 4064 nt
Organism: Mustela lutreola (European mink)
Lineage: Eukaryota; Metazoa; Chordata; Mammalia; Carnivora; Mustelidae
Exons: 3
Source: RefSeq, a predicted model, not a curated record